GGGCCGGUAGAUCAGUAGUAGAUCGCUCCCUUGGCAUGGGAGAGGCCCCGGGUGCGAAUCCCGGCCGGUCCA
RNAcentral lists this transfer RNA (72 nucleotides) under Candidatus Woesearchaeota archaeon. RNAcentral's name for it is "tRNA-Ala". It matches the Rfam family "tRNA". Rfam says of the family: Transfer RNA (tRNA) molecules are approximately 80 nucleotides in length. Their secondary structure includes four short double-helical elements and three loops (D, anti-codon, and T loops). RNAcentral also lists the same sequence under 1 other name. Lineage: Archaea; Nanobdellati; Candidatus Woesearchaeota. The record is from RNAcentral.